This 253-nucleotide ribosomal RNA is filed under the name uncultured bacterium. Its description in RNAcentral is "partial 16S ribosomal RNA". It matches the Rfam family "Bacterial small subunit ribosomal RNA", at positions 524 to 776 of the family's 1533-position model. The record is from RNAcentral.
UACGAAGGGUGCAAGCGUUAGUCGGAAUUACUGGGCGUAAAGCGUGCGUAGGCGGUUUCUUAAGUCUGCCGUGAAAGCCCCGGGCUCAACCUGGGAAUGGCGGUGGAUACUGGGAAGCUGGAGUGCGGUAGAGGAGGGUGGAAUUCCCGGUGUAGCGGUGAAAUGCGUAGAUAUCUGGAGGAACACCGGUGGCGAAGGCGGCAUCCUGGACCGGUAUUGACGCUGAUGAGCGAAAGCUAGGGGAGCAAACGGG